RNAcentral lists this unclassified non-coding RNA (509 nucleotides) under Hevea brasiliensis (rubber tree). Lineage: Eukaryota; Viridiplantae; Streptophyta; Magnoliopsida; Malpighiales; Euphorbiaceae. The record is from RNAcentral.
CUCCCCAUAUAUGUAUGUGUGAGUGCUGCAGAUUGCCUUGGGUGUGAUAUGACUUGUUUUGCUUGGUUUGCAUUAAGAUGAUGCAUUUCAUUUCUAAUGACGCAUUAAAAUUGGAUAGUUAUAGAAAUUACAUGUAAAAUCAAUAUCUUACUCUAUACGUUGAAAGCUCACUCCUAUUUACCCUAUUUUUUUCCAGGCUACAAGAGGAAUUCUUUUUCAGAAUAACCUACUUUCUUCCUCAUAGAUUUAACAUCAGUUAUUUAUUUGUUUUAUUAUUUUCUAAAUUUGAAAUCCAGAACUCCGCAUGUGUUAGCAGUAGUAUGGACCCUAUUAUGAAUUGUGUUAAUUUAAAUUCUUGAUAUUAAUAAAUGAAAAUUUUUAUGACAUAUAAAUAAUUUGUAAAGGAUGGUAUCAAGGUUGAGCUAAGCUCCAGUGGUUUUACUAUCUAAUGGUUAUCGGGCUGUGUUGACUUGAAUUAAAAUUUUAAUAUUUUAUUUUAUUUUAUUUUA